RNAcentral lists this ribosomal RNA (368 nucleotides) under uncultured organism. RNAcentral's name for it is "bacterial SSU rRNA". It matches the Rfam family "Bacterial small subunit ribosomal RNA", at positions 526 to 896 of the family's 1533-position model. The record is from RNAcentral.
CGAAGGAUGCAAGCGUUAUCCGGAUUCAUUGGGUUUAAAGGGAGCGUAGGUGGCCUUGUAAGUCAGUGGUGAAAUCUCUCGGCUUAACUGAGAAAUUGCCAUUGAUACUGCAGGGCUUGAGUACGGAUGCCGUUGGCGGAAUAUGACAUGUAGUGGUGAAAUACAUAGAGAUGUCAUAGAACACCGAUUGCGAAGGCAGCUGACGAAACUGUAACUGACACUGAGGCUCGAAAGUGUGGGGAUCAAACAGGAUUAGAUACCCUGGUAGUCCACACUGUAAACGAUGAUUACUCGCUGCUGGAGGGCAACUUUCAGUGGCUAAGCAAAAGCGAUAAGUAAUCCACCUGGGGAGUACGCCGGCAACGGUG